CAAUAGCGUAUAUUAAAGUUGUUGCAGUUAAAAAGCUCGUAGUCGGAUUUUGGCAUCAUGCCGAACUGUCAGCCGAUUGGUUUGUACGGUUUGGCGGGUGCUCUCCUUCCGGAGGCUCGUUUCCUCUUUCAUUAGAGGGUUCGAUGGUUCCGGGUCUUUUACUUUGAAAAAAUUAGAGUGUUCAAAGCAGGCUUAUGCCUCUGAAUAUAUUAGCAUGGAAUAAUGAUAUAGGACCUUGGUACUAUUUUGUUGGUUUGCGCACUGAGGUAAUGAUUAAGAGGGACAGUUGGGGGUAUUUGUAUUCCAUUGUCAGAGGUGAAAUUCUUGGAUUUUUGGAAGACAAACUACUGCGAAAGCAUUUACCAAGGAUGUUUUCAUUAAUCAAGAACGAAAGUUAGGGGAUCGAAGACGAUUAGAUACCGU
Molecule: ribosomal RNA, 423 nt
Filed under: uncultured eukaryote
Lineage: Eukaryota
Description: bacterial SSU rRNA
Rfam family: Eukaryotic small subunit ribosomal RNA
Source: RNAcentral